This 22-nucleotide microRNA is filed under the name Alligator mississippiensis (American alligator). Its description in RNAcentral is "Ami-Mir-205-P2_3p* (star (passenger))". Lineage: Eukaryota; Metazoa; Chordata; Crocodylia; Alligatoridae. RNAcentral also lists the same sequence under 1 other name. The record is from RNAcentral.
GAUUUCAGUGAAAUGAAGCCCC